This 2833-nucleotide long non-coding RNA is filed under the name Homo sapiens (human). Its description in RNAcentral is "HSALNT0375898". Lineage: Eukaryota; Metazoa; Chordata; Mammalia; Primates; Hominidae. The record is from RNAcentral.
AGCGAAGGGGUGGGGUGGGAUCUUGGUCCAGCUGGUACUGGAGCGGCGACAAUUUUGGCUAGUCUAAGAAGGGCAUUCGAGUGACCGUUGACAACGGGUGGGACAGCGUCAGAGCUGGAGGGAGAGCCAGCACUGUAUGCUUCCAGGACUUCUUGCUAGGUGCAUUAGUUUUUAUUUUUAAGAGUUGGGUAAAAGACAUUAAUUAGUUAGCAUCUCACUCAUCGGCGAUUUUCUACGGUAUGAUUUCAUCCAAAGAGGAUUUCUUAAUCGCACUGUGUGACACCGUUAGGGGACUUAGAGUGUCACUCGCCGCCUUAAAUCCUUUCGGGAACAAGCCAGGAUAUAAAUAAAUAAAGCUAGGUGUGGGUCUUCCCUUCACAAGGCGCUGGUAGGCAGACUAAAGACAGGCAACAGCUGAGUGUGCACACAGAACUAAAUAUUGAACGAAAUACGAGUGUCGGAAUAAAAUUCAUUGCCAUGUGCACGGCUUAUGAUUAUACAGAUCUUGGACAUAUCACGGACCUGAACGUCAACCCUGCAACACCGGAUAAAACAUCUAAUGUAGCUGGAAUAGACUCUGAAAGGACGUUAGGCAUUAUCUAAAUCAAGUCCCUCAUUUUACAGAUGAGUAAACUGACUCAGUGAAGUAUUUUGCUCAAGGUCGUUCAUCAAAUUAGUAGUUUAAUUAACUCAGUGUUCUAGGAAGCAGGGUAGUAGAAAAGCAUGGGAUUCGGAGUCUGAAAUCUUCCUUGGUUUCUGGUCCUUGUAGGCUGUUUUACAAGUGUAUCUUGGGCAAAUCCCUUAACGUCUUGCCAUUUAUUAAGGGCUUACUUACCACGUGGCAAACAAUCCACUUUGCAUGCUGUGUCAAUUACAUGCAGUAUGUCGUGUAGUUAUUACUGUCCCCAUUUUAUGAGGUAGUUUAGGUUUAAAGAUAUUAGAAAUUUACCCAAAGUUACGCAGUUAUAAACAUUGUAGUAAUUUCAAACUCAGGUCUUCGUGACUGCAAAGGCUGCUGUCUUAAGUAUUGUAAUACAUUAGAGCUCCGGAUUCCCUCCCACUCAAAACAGAGACUGAGACUCCAACCAAUUUCCACCAUUAUUGGGAGUCAAACGAGAGAGACUGUGGCAAUGUAUUCUAAGCUGUACAAAGGUAUAAACAUAUUCACUAGAUUUGUAGAAUGAAGUUAUUCCUUCCCUAUACUUUCCACUACAACAAUUCAGCCAAAAAGAUGGCUUUCAUACUAAGCAUAAGAAGGAACUUCACUGUAAUUAUGAUAUUCUAACCAAGAAUAUAUGCAUAUCUAGGCAAUAACCAAAGUGAAUAGAAUAAAAUUUAAUUCCUGAUAGAUUAAAUAGGCAAUAGCAAGGAAUGCUAACGCUCCUCAUAGCGUUCUUGUUGGAAGAAUCAUCUAGGAGGCAUUGGGAUUUCUGGUGCUUUUUAAGCAAUGAGAGAUAUCAGUCCACUGAAUGAGGAAGAGAAUAACGUUUAGUUUCGGACUAAAAGUUCAUCUGGACUACGGAAAACACGUUUGCCUCAAUCAGUGAAGAAGGUAUGCUGAGAGCUGAAAGAAAAGGAAAGCAGCAACAGUGAGAGCUCAGAAAUUCCCAGACUGUUUUGAUGAUAAGGUCCAAGAACUUGCCAUGUGAUCCAUCACUACUAGACUCCCACAACUGCAUUAGAUUUGUUCAGGAUUUUCAUAUAAUUUUCAUAACUGGCUAAGUUCUGAAAUAACCCAUCUUGAAGACAUAAACAAUGUGCAUUGAUGGCUAGCCAGACUCUGUCCUGCCACAGUUCUCCUCCUACUCUUCAUUUCUUACCCCAAGGAGUAGUAAACAUGAAUCCUGACCCACCAAUGCAGUCCCAGAACUGAGAAAAGAUUCACUGCAGCUAAACAGUAGGUAGAAAUAAAAACAAUGACUCAAUUCAAUAAUAUUAAGUGUGUUGGGAAGACAGUCUCCAAGAGAAACGAUAAAUAACCUACAUAAUGAAGAAUUAGUUAGCAGUGUUAUGUAAAUAUUGUAGCAGCAUCAAUGAGGAGGAUUAUUUUUGCACCUUUGGAAAGCAACUGAAAAAGGAAGCCUGGAAAAAAUCCUGCCUAACAAAGCAGCAGUACUCAAAUAGCUUUAACUAUAAGAAAGAACUGAUUCAAGAUAUGAGAAGAGAUUUAAGAUAUAAGAUUAAAUAUAAGUGUAAAUGAUAUCCUCAUUUUUAUUGAAAUGCUGUGUAUUCCUAUUAUUUCAGUGAAAUGUUAAAUGGCAAAGGAUGCAUUUUUUAGAUUAUUUUUUUCACUGAAUUUUAAACAGUCUUUGAAGCAGAUAUUUCAUAUAACAAUAUCCAGAAACAAUAACACAUAUGUGGAUAAAGUUGAGUGGUUGGAUAAUGUAUUGUGCAAAUUAUCAAGAAGAAAACCAUCUUAAAGAAAUAUUUUAGCUUAACAGCAUCAAUAAAUGGGACACCUAGUUCACUUAAAAAAAUUGACAAUGAAUGUUUUCCUCCUUAUACCCCUGAAGGCCUUGGGUUUGGAAUGACAAAAUAUUCAAAUAUUUUGAAAUUAUCUACAUUUUAAAUAUUUAUUCAAGGAGAAUUGAAUCUUGAUUGACAAUUGUGCACAAAUUGCUGAAAUUCAAAAAUUCUAAAUCUCAUGUCAGAUAUUAGGAAAUUUUAAUUUUUCAUUUACUAAAACGGUAAAAAUGUAGACACUAGAAAAAAAUGAAGAAAUGACAAUGUCAUAGAUAAUCAACAAACUGAAUAAUUAGGUGGAAUUACUCAACCCCCAGAUUAGUCCAUUUUCAUGCUGCUGAUAAAGACAUACCCAAGACUGGGCAAUUUA